GAUGAACGCUGGCGGCGUGCCUAAUACAUGCAAGUCGAGCGAACAGACGAGGAGCUUGCUCCUCUGACGUUAGCGGCGGACGGGUGAGUAACACGUGGAUAACCUACCUAUAAGACUGGGAUAACUUCGGGAAACCGGAGCUAAUACCGGAUAAUAUAUUGAACCGCAUGGUUCAAUAGUGAAAGACGGUUUUGCUGUCACUUAUAGAUUGAUCCGCGCCGCAUUAGCUAGUUGGUAAGGUAACGGCUUACCAAGGCAACGAUGCGUAGCCGACCUGAGAGGGUGAUCGGCCACACAGGAACUGAGACACGGGCCCGACUCCGACGGGAGGCAGCAGUAGGGAAUCUGCCGCAAUGGGCGAAAGCCUGACGGAGCAACGCCGCGUGAGUGAUGAAGGUCUGCGGAUCGUAAAACUCUGUUAUUAGGGAAGAACAAAUGUGUAAGUAACUAUGCACGUCUGGACGGUACCUAAGCAGAAAGCCACGGCUAACUACGU
Molecule: ribosomal RNA, 496 nt
Filed under: uncultured bacterium
Lineage: Bacteria
Description: partial 16S ribosomal RNA
Rfam family: Bacterial small subunit ribosomal RNA
Source: RNAcentral